This 200-nucleotide ribosomal RNA is filed under the name uncultured bacterium. RNAcentral describes it as "partial 16S ribosomal RNA". It matches the Rfam family "Bacterial small subunit ribosomal RNA", at positions 28 to 226 of the family's 1533-position model. The record is from RNAcentral.
GAUGAACGCUAGCGGCAGGCCUAAUACAUGCAAGUCGAACGGUAAAUAUGCCAGCAAUGGUAUAUGAGAGUGACGCACGGGUGCGUAACACGUAUGCAACCUACCCUUUACAGGAGUAUAGCUCGGGGAAACUCGAAUUAACACUUCAUAGUAUAAUUGAAUGGCAUCAUUUGAUUAUUAAAUCUGCGGAGGUAAAGGAU